Molecule: ribosomal RNA, 476 nt
Filed under: uncultured anaerobic ammonium-oxidizing bacterium
Lineage: Bacteria
Description: bacterial SSU rRNA
Rfam family: Bacterial small subunit ribosomal RNA
Source: RNAcentral
UUCGCAAUGCCCGAAAGGGUGACGAAGCGACGCCGCGUGUGGGAAGAAGGCCUUCGGGUUGUAAACCACUGUCAGGAGUUAGGAAGUGCAGGAGCGUUAAUAGCGUUCUUGCUUGACUAAGGCUCCAGAGGAAGCCACGGCUAACUCUGUGCCAGCAGCCGCGGUAAUACAGAGGCGGCAAGCGUUGUUCGGAAUUAUUGGGCGUAAAGAGCACGUAGGCGGCCUUGCAAGUCGGUUGUGAAAGCCUUCUGUUCAAAGGAAGAACGGCAUCUGAAACUGCAGAUCUUGAGUGUAGGAGGGGAGAGUGGAACUUCUGGUGGAGCGGUGAAAUGCGUAGAUAUCAGAAGGAACGUCGGCGGCGAAAGCGACUCUCUGGCCUAUUACUGACACUGAGGUGCGAAAGUUAGGGGAGCAAACGGGAUUAGAUACCCCGGUAGUCCUAACCGUAAACGAUGGGCACUAAGUAGAGGGGUUUU